AUGUAAGGAUCGGCUGGCUCAUCCUCAUCAUCCGAAAAGAAAACAAAGAAAAAACAGAUUUGUUUCAAUGACAUAUCUAAUCAGACUGAAAUUGAUGUCGAAGACACGAUCAUUCACAUCAAUUGAAGCAGGCAGGAAGGGCGCAUAAGCUACCAUUUAACGAAUGCAAGCAAGGUAGCUUGCUUACUCUCCAUCUAG
RNAcentral lists this ribosomal RNA (198 nucleotides) under Triticum aestivum (bread wheat). RNAcentral's name for it is "partial small subunit ribosomal RNA". The record is from RNAcentral. Lineage: Eukaryota; Viridiplantae; Streptophyta; Magnoliopsida; Poales; Poaceae.